RNAcentral lists this ribosomal RNA (253 nucleotides) under uncultured bacterium. RNAcentral describes it as "partial 16S ribosomal RNA". It matches the Rfam family "Bacterial small subunit ribosomal RNA", at positions 524 to 776 of the family's 1533-position model. The record is from RNAcentral.
UACGGAGGGCGCAAGCGUUGUUCGGAAUCACUGGGCGUAAAGCGCGUGUAGGCGGCUUGGUAAGUCGGGUGUGAAAGCCCGAGGCCUAACCUCGGAAAUGCACUCGAAACUGCCUCGCUCGAGUCCCGGAGAGGGUGGUGGAAUUCCCGGUGUAGAGGUGAAAUUCGUAGAUAUCGGGAGGAACACCAGUGGCGAAGGCGGCCACCUGGACGGUGACUGACGCUGAGACGCGAAAGCGUGGGGAGCAAACAGG